Molecule: long non-coding RNA, 1773 nt
Organism: Triticum aestivum (bread wheat)
Lineage: Eukaryota; Viridiplantae; Streptophyta; Magnoliopsida; Poales; Poaceae
Exons: 7
Source: RefSeq, a predicted model, not a curated record
UCCGCUCCCUGUGCCGCCGGCCCCAUUCCUUCUCCCCGCGCUAGAACAGAGAUGCGCCUCAGUAGGGCAGCAGCAGCAGCAGCGUCUCCAUGGACGCGGUGGCAUGACGGCUCCCAGGCACGGAUCCCCUCCUCUGCCUCCAUCCUCCACCUCUCCGGUCGCCCUGUUGCAACGUCCGAAGCAGCAGCAGGCGACCUGCAGCAGCUCCUUCCUACCUUCCAUGGACGAGCUCGAUGGAGACAUCGUCCAGCCUGACCACGGCCAUGACUACCCCACGCACAAGGAAGGUUGAUUCAUUUUAACAUAUAACAAAUUCAUUCCACCGAAGCCAUCUGCUCCGUCCACCAACCCGCCCAGAAAGGUAGUUACAGUGAAUUGAUAUUCGCACUGAGGCCGGAGGCGAGAGGCGAGGGCACGGAGGUCGGCGGCAAGUGCUCAAGAGAGAAGAGGAAGGCAGCGGCGCUGGGCGGCUGCGGUUUACACAAGAGCGAGGUGACCUGCCCAGAGAGGUAGUUACAGUGAAUUGAUGUUCAUAUGAACUUCAAUGUUGUGGCGUUUUUAUUAGAUCUGAGUUGUAAUCCUCAAUUUUUUUAGGUUUGAGUAGCAAUGCUCCUGCUCUACUAGCUAUGACAUUUUCCAUGUUUUUUCUUCUAAUAUCGUAUAGCGUCCAUGCUUAUGGGUUCAAUGACAAGCUUUUUUCACCUUCCAUCCUGUUUUAAGCUCUGUUGAUGGAUAAUUUCUGCCAUGUUUAUGGAGGGGGAGGACGCCAACUACUAGGAGAAUGAUCAAUUUAGCAAGUACAUGCUGUAAUUCUCUUAUGAUUAUGGAUUGCUGAGAAGCGCAAUCUUUUGAUCUUCGAGAACCGCAAGUUUGCUACAUUUAAAACACAUUCAUUAUGCAAGACGAAUGUCUAUGUUCAUCUACAAAAACCAAAGGAAGUAGCUUGUCGUUUGGAUAUCCCAAGCAUCGACUGGCGAGACUAUGGUUUGGCAAGCAGAGGUCCACUAGGACUGAGUGACGAACAAGCACAUGAAUGCAUGCAUCUUGUUCAAGCAUGGAUGGAAGAAAUUUCUCCUGAAAACAGGACUUGAGGAUAGAAGCUUCGAAUGGCUAGCAGAACCAAGGCCGCCGGGACACUGUCACAUUGAGGUAGUGCCAUGGCCGUAGGUGCUGAUGUCGCAUGGGCAGCACCGCGGCCGCGGGAUCGCUGUUGUGUAGUGCCACAGCCUCCGACUCGGUGUUGCGUGGUGGAAGAGCAGUGGUCAAGUUCGACGGCAUUGAAGCGAGAUGUGAGAUCCCAGCGCUCCAAAUGACGGAUCGUGGCCGUCGGAGGGCCAACAGAGGACAAGGGAUAACAACCGGUGGUGGAGGGCGAGUCUGAGAAAUCAUGAGCUUUUUCCUUCUAUGAAAAGUGAUAAAGUUGCAACAUAGUUUGCUCAAAGGUGUGCAUCAAUGCAGAUUGAGCGGCACAAUCUGAGAAGAAAAAUGCAAAAUUAGAAACGUGCAUCAUGUGUAUGUUGGCUGAGCGACGGUGUUGGGGGCUUGGUUGUGGCGCAGCCCUUCGGCGUGGGGCCCUCUUGCGUUGCCGCUAUGGUUGCCUCGCAUUGGACGGGAGGAGAUAAGUAAAUCCCCAAUUAAACUGGCAACAUCAUUAUGGAAGGGAAAUGAUUGGAUAACAAACUUUAUAGAUUUAGUAUCAUAUCAUUCAUUUGUGACAGCAUGAUCUUAAUUGCGCAUCUCUGAAUAUUUUAGGCCCUUGCUCUUGGAAGAUUA